Molecule: ribosomal RNA, 387 nt
Filed under: uncultured bacterium
Lineage: Bacteria
Description: bacterial SSU rRNA
Rfam family: Bacterial small subunit ribosomal RNA
Source: RNAcentral
AGAGUUUGAUCCUGGCUCAGAGCGAACGCUGGCGGCAGGCCUAACACAUGCAAGUCGAGCGCCCCGCAAGGGGAGCGGCAGACGGGAGAGUAACACGUGGGAACGUACCCUUCAGUUCGGAACAACCCAGGGAAACUUGGGCUAAUACCGGAUACGUCCGUAAGGAGAAAGAUUUAUCGCUGAAGGAUCGGCCCGCGUCUGAUUAGCUUGUUGGUGAGGUAACGGCUCACCAAGGCGACGAUCAGUAGCUGGUCUGAGAGGAUGAUCAGCCUCACUGGGACUGAGACACGGCCCAGACUCCUACGGGAGGCAGCAGUGGGGAAUAUUGGACAAUGGGCGCAAGCCUGAUCCAGCCAUGCCGCGUGGAUGAUGAAGGCCCUAGGGUUG